Non-coding RNA from Pelobates cultripes (western spadefoot toad), 296 nucleotides. Lineage: Eukaryota; Metazoa; Chordata; Amphibia; Anura; Pelobatidae. The record is from the annotation of a GenBank genome assembly.
AUGCAUUCACAAAACAUAACAAUAUCCCCAAUUAUUUAUAAUAGAAUAAAACCAAAAUCCAGGGAGGGAACAUUAAAAAAAAAGUGGGGGGGGAAAUAUUCGCCUCCUGUCUUUAAUAAAAUUUAGAUUAUUCCCUCACCGAGGCUAAAAUAAUCCCUAAUUUUAUGGCAGGACAGGAGGCUUCAUAUUUGCAAUUUUAACGCCCAAAUAGUAGAACCAGAAGCAAUAUGAGAUAGGAGGACUGAAAUAAAAGGAGAAUGGAAAAAACGAUUCCCUAAACCAAGCAGCAGUGUAGA